AGCUUCGCACGUCCUCGGCGUAGGGGCUCCUGCGAGGUCCUAGUCCUUCCCUGGGAGCUAAGAGCGUAACAGAGGCUGUACCCGACUGCUGCUUGGAGGGAACCCUGGCUGAGUCCAGGGAGGAGGAGCCAGAGGCGGGGCGAUUGGAAGCAGCCACCUCAGCGAAGCUGCAGGAUUUCCGCAGGGCGGGAGCUGGUUAUCUCCCGGAAGAAAACGGCUCCUGUCACAGAAGUCUCGUGAUUGCUCUGGGAGCUUUGCUUAACCAUUUGGAACUACAGAAGAAAGAAGGAUCUAGCGAAGUAUGGCUGCAGAGAGCCCUGCUAUGCGUCGGGUCCAGGUGGCAGAACAUCCCAGGUUACUGAAGCUAAAGGAGAUGUUUAACUCCAAGUUUGGAUCUAUUCCCAAGUUUUAUGUUCGAGCACCAGGAAGAGUCAACAUAAUAGGAGAGCAUAUAGAUUACUGUGGAUAUUCUGUUCUUCCUAUGGCUAUAGAACAAGAUGUGCUAAUAGCUGUAGAACCUGUGAAAACAUAUACUCUCCAACUGGCCAAUACAAAUCCCUUGUAUCCGGACUUCAGUACUAGUGCUAAUAACAUUCAGAUUGAUAAAACCAAGCCUUUGUGGCACAACUAUUUCUUAUGUGGACUUAAAGGAAUUCAGGAACACUUUGGUCUUACUAACCUGACUGGAAUGAACUGCCUGGUAGAUGGAAAUAUCCCACCAAGUUCUGGCCUCUCCAGCUCCAGUGCUUUGGUCUGUUGUGCUGGCUUGGUGACGCUCACAGUGCUAGGAAGGAAUCUAUCCAAGGUGGAACUUGCAGAAAUCUGUGCCAAGAGUGAGCGUUACAUUGGUACUGAAGGAGGAGGCAUGGACCAGUCUAUAUCAUUUCUUGCAGAAGAAGGAACUGCCAAGUUGAUAGAAUUUAGUCCUCUGAGGGCAACUGAUGUAAAACUCCCAAGUGGAGCAGUGUUUGUGAUUGCCAACAGUUGUGUGGAGAUGAAUAAGGCAGCAACUUCUCAGUUCAAUAUCAGGGUGAUGGAGUGUCGGCUGGCUGCGAAGCUCCUGGCUAAAUACAAAAACUUGCAAUGGGACAACGUACUGCGGCUGGACGAGGUGCAGGCUAAACUAGGGAUUAGUCUAGAAGAAAUGUUGUUGGUCACAGAAGAUGCCCUUCAUCCUGAACCCUAUAACCCUGAGGAGAUCUGUAGGUGUCUGGGAAUUAGCCUGGAGGAACUCCGAACCCAAAUCCUGAGUCCAAACACUCAAGAUGCCCUGUCUCUUUCCCCUAGGCCUGGGAAUUUUCAUAAAUAUUCCAAAAUUUUCCCAGACCCACCACACCAGCUAAGCCACUGUUCAAUAUGGGUGAAAAUGUGCUUAUCUUCAAACUCUAUCAGCGGGCAAAGCAUGUGUACAGCGAGGCUGCGCGAGUGCUCCAGUUUAAGAAGAUAUGUGAAGAAGCACCUGAAAACAUGGUCCAGCUGCUGGGAGAGUUGAUGAACCAGAGCCACAUGAGCUGCCGGGACAUGUAUGAGUGCAGCUGCCCUGAGCUGGACCAGCUGGUGGACAUCUGUCGGAAGUUGGGGGCUCAAGGGUCACGACUUACUGGAGCAGGAUGGGGAGGCUGCGCAGUAUCAAUAGUACCUGCGGACAAGCUGCCCGGCUUCCUAGCCAAUGUGCACAAAGCUUAUUACCAGAGGAGUGAUGGAAGCUUAGCACCAGAGAAGCAGAGUUUGUUUGCUACCAAACCUGGAGGCGGGGCUUUGGUUUUCCUUGAGGCCUGAAAAAAUGUAAAAAAUCUCAGAGAAACUAUUUAGGACACUUAGGAAUUGGCAGGACUUUCUAUGCCACAGUAAAUUAAUCUUCUUUCUGUUUUGUAUUAUGAUGAAUGGUUGCUAUUAUAUCAAGAUAUAUUUUCAAAGAAAUGAUUGAAAGCUCUCUAUGCUUCAUAAUGAUUAUUUUUCCAUCUUAAAAUAUGGUUUUACUAUUAAGAGUCAAGAUCAUGCUUGGACAGAUCUUUUAAGAAUAAUUUACUGAGAAUUAUUCAUUUGAAGAUUUUAAAGAUGAAUGGUAAAACACACUCUUAAUACUGAUUACAUGAAUUGGACUUGAAUUAAAUAUAUUGUUAAAAUUAAACUGAUACCAUUGAAUUGUAUGCAUUAUUCUUAAAUAGAGUUCAUUUCCAGUUUCUCUUAGUACUCUUCUUCCUCAAAGUUGUAGUUCUCUGUUGAUGAUGAUGAUGACGACGACAGUGAUGCCACACAUUCUCUCUCAAUUUCAGCUUCAGAACGCUAUGAAAAUAAUACAUGAUUAAAGUUUCACAGAUUUUCUUGGACAUUGUAUAAUUGAAUGUGAGAUUUCUCCAAUUAUCAAGAGAGUAAGGAAUUUUUUUUUUUCUGACAAAAGGAGGAUAUGGGAAGAAAAUUCAGACUCAUUUGAAUAUUUUUAAACCAUGUGAUAUCAUUGAAAUAACCACUUUCAAUUCUUUUGGCCCUGAGCUAUCUCCAUUACUUAACAGGAAAACUUAGAUAAAAAACACUUUAAGUCUCUUCUAUUCACAUUGAAAUAAAGAAUUAUCUAGAUGAUAA
Non-coding RNA from Macaca mulatta (Rhesus monkey), 2583 nucleotides. NCBI's taxonomy places the organism in Eukaryota, Metazoa, Chordata, Mammalia, Primates, Cercopithecidae. The record is from RefSeq and is a predicted model, not a curated record.